UGGGAGCGCGGUGCCGAGCUGCCUGAUGUCGUGUGCGUUUUGCGAGCAGGGCUGAGGCGUCGCGGAGGCGGGAGAACUCAGGGAGCAGCGUGUGGCCGUGCCGGCCGCGGGGCCGCUGGGCCGUGCCUUCGGUUUGGGUAGCAGCGCUGGCGGUGCGUGGCUGCGGAGGGCGAUGUGUGUCCGGCAGGAGGAGCUUUGCUCGCUGCUCAACGCGCUGUCCUGUAUUUAUCUACAGAGCCACGCACAGGGGGAGGGUAUGGUGGGGUAACCUUCAAGGCCAGGUUGGAUGGGGCCCUGGGCAGCCUGGUCUAGUACCAGAUGUGGAGGUUGGUCGCCCUGCCUGUGGCAGGGGGUUGGAACUUGAUGAUCCUGGGGGUCCAUUCCAACCCAAGCCAUUCUGUUGGGUUCAUUCCUCUCAGCUAGGCUGGAGUUGGCUGAGCUGACUUGUUUCCCUGCCUUCUAAGCAGUGCUUGCUGCGUCACACUGGCUAAUCUUUAUCAACGCUUCCACUUUGUGUGCUGUCUCAGCUGCAGCAACGCCCUCUUCCUGGCUGCUGCUUUGGGGAAAUGGCGUGUAGAGUUCCGUGCACUGAGCAUCAUUGCUGUUUCUGUAGUGCUUUGUGUCAUGGACGGGGGAAAUGAUCCAUUUCUCAAAGAGAAGGUGAAUUUCUGUUAAGGGAAAGGGUGGUUAUUGCUGAAAUAAUCCUUACUCCAAAGUGGGAGGAAACACAAUGUGUUGUAUGGUGUGUUAAAUAACUUUGUUUCUCCUUACAGCUGAUUCCUGUGAAAUAAAGUCUUUUAUUCUUUCAAGAAGAUACUCCACUGAGAGGAGUUGGAGAGUUCUGUAGGCUCCCUGGAAGCGUGGGCCAAAGUCCAGUAGUGGUAUAGGUCAGGAAAAAGGAUUUACAAGUUUUUCUUUUCUAAAGUAUUUUGGCUCCUCCUGGAGGUAAGUGCAGUGAAUUUCUCAGGAUAACACCUCACAGUAACUACACAGGCAUGGUGGUCUGUUUUCGCCAUGGUGCAAUCAGAUGGUGAAGGACUGUCACGAGAUGUUAAGUAAUUCACAUCACAAAACCUAAACCUUGGCAUCUUGAAAUAUUUGUUGGUAUUGUAGCAAUAUUUGCCAUUCUUCUAUCUCUUUAAAUCCACAUCGCUCUUGUCAAAGGAUCUGAGCCAGCUUUUUGCCUUCUGCAUCUUCCCACAAAAGGCCUGGUGUCUUAGGGCAGCACAUGCAACUCAUGUAGCUUCUGCACACCCCACCUUAUCCAGUGCUUCAUUCAUCACAGAAGAAAAAAAUAUAAUGCUCUGUUGCUGCUAUAACCUCCGGUUUAGUUUGUACAUCUGAAGAGUUUUGAUUGAAAAGCACUGCUCUCUUUGUUUUAUUUCUCCAUGUGAAUGCUUUCACUUUGUUGAAGGGGAAAAAGAAAAACAGUAUUAUAUGUCAGAACAGUUGCUGUCCUUAAACUUUAAGGCUAAGCUUAUGCUUAUGUUUGUGCAGCUGAUACCGAGUAAUGAUGGUAAGUAGUAUGAUAGGGUGUGUGUUUUCUACAAAGGGCAGAAAACAUGGAUAUAAAAUUGUCCAGGAUAAAUCUGCUGACAUAGCAACUACAUACUUUGCUUUUGUGUGUUCGGUAUCACUGAUACCACUUGCAGUGAUUCCUUCUCUUCCUUCCCCCACCUUGUUUCCAUGCUGCUGCUCUGGGUAGGAGGCAAGGAUCCUGCUUUGCAGAUGAAAUUACUUCCCUGUUUUACUGUGUUUCUUUAUCCGAUAAUGUAGAUGCUGCUGAUGUCUCAGUGAAGAGAGAACUGAGGUGAAAAAGUAAUGAAAGGAAUGCUUGAUGUGCCAGACAAGUAAAAUAGUUUCCUACGUUGUAUAGUUCACUUUCAGGAGUUUGGGGGUACCCGCUAUUUGUCAGGCUAGAUUUUACACAGCUUAGAAGCUUGGAAUGUUAAAUCCUGUGUUAUCUCAAACGUAGGUCAUCAUUUUACACUGUUCAUCUGGAAAUGCUCGCACCCACUUACCUUCUGACCCAGCAGGUCUUAACUGUGAGAUCCACAAGAAGCUUAUAGCCAUAUUGCAGAAAUAAGCACUGUCUCAGUGUCCCAUGUGAAAAGACUUAAAGUGACUAAAGAACUGAAGGCCUGCCUUUACUGUGUUUUGAGUACGUGGAUAUACUCUGAUUUAAUGCAUUUUAUGAAAGCUGCUUCAGGUGUUUGUAUGGUCCCGAGCCUGCUAAGCUGUCACAUAUGUCUGCCCUUUGCUGUGCCAGCAUCCUACACUGCAGAAACCACAAGUUUUGUUGCAAAAACGAAUUUGGUCUCAGUGCAAUCAGGUAAGCAACCACUCUGUGCCCUGAGAGUAAGGAGAAGCAGCUGGAAGUCGUGGAAGACGGUGCAGAGAACAAGGAUAAGUAGCAAUGUGUGAUGCGUUUGCCUUCUGCAAAGAAGCAGUUAGUACAUUUUUGUAUGCUUUUCUUGCUUUCAUCGUGGUAAAUUCUUGCUCCUAAUUAAAACCAGAAAGAUUUUGUUGUAAAUUCAGCCUUCACUGGAUAACGUACUGGAAACAUGCCUGCAAUCUGCACGAGAAAUGCGUGCAUGUACAAGAUUGGUGUGUACAACAUACGCAAGAGUGUAAAAGCAUUCCAGGUCCCUUUGGAUGAAGGGGGAGAGCUGUAGAGUCACAGAGGCACUGCUGCUUGUAGAGCCUGUGAAAAAAAGCAGAAAUGCUUUGUGCAGUGGUAACAGCUUCAAGGUAAGGGUGUGGAUUCAGCUGGGUGUAGUAGGUAAGUAGGUCCGUGUGGUGUGAAAACACAGGUAAGAAUGGGAGGGUUGCAUAUCUAAGUGUUUGUAAAUGAAAUGGAGGGGGGAGGGGGGGAAGCAAUCGUUAAAUCUCUGGAAGACCUCAGGAUUCCUGUGAUAACUUUAUUAUAUUCUGUUUUUCAGCACAAGAAGAGCCUCUUCAGGUGUUGUGGACGUGUAACUGCUACCGAACUGCAGAACAUAAUAUGAGAUGGGGGGUGGACAGGCUACUCCAAGUCAUGGCCUCACAGAAACAGUUUCAGUAGAGAGGAAACCUCACAUUCUCUUGGAACUUCCAUGAAUUUAAGUGAGGACCCAUUGGCAGUGGUGAAACAGGAAGUUACUUCUAUUUUUGACACUGGUCAUGGGGAUGAGGGUAGUGAACUUCAUACUUGUUAAUCAGCACACAGUGAUGGGCCUUGGCAGAAGUGCAGGCUGAGCCCAGGAGAUUACAGUCGUGGGGAAACUCAGUUUCCCAACCAACAGUGGCUGAAACUUCCUGAGUAGAGGGAAUGGAUGAGCAUCUGCUGCUCAGCUGAAUAGGGAUAGUUCUCUUGAGGCCACAGAUAGAGUCACACAGUCCAGAACUACCCUCAGAGCUUUAGUCUUGGCCCACCCAGCUCCUGCAGAGCUAUGGGGACUGGAGCACCGUGCUGAAGAUAACCCUCAGCACACCUUGCUGGGGUCCGGGCCUGGAUGGAAGCCCUCUGGUUGGCUGUGUCCCAGCUUUCACAUACCCAACAAGAACCUCAGCACUUCUGAGUAGAGCAAGUUAACACUUGGGAUGCACCGAUAUAGCUGUAGUUUGUGCGUGCUGUACUCAUUAGCAUGACUUGAUGAGAGCUUGUGUUGUACAAAGCAAGUUGGGUUUUGAGGUUUGCUCACUGCACACCCCACUCUAUUGCCAGUAGACAUGGGGAGAAGCUCUAACCCUGGGUUUGUACCACAUCUCACUGGGGAGCCUGUGUGUGCCUGUGCCACAAACAGUCCGUGAGCUGACAAAUCCUUAAGCAUGGUGGCAGUUCUCAUGCUUGUGAAAAACGAGGGGUAAGGGGGAUAGGUAGGGGUUCUUCCUUUCAUGAAUGACAAACUACUGAAAUCCAAAGCUCACUGAAAAUAACCUUCUAAAAAUGAAAUUGGAAGGUGUGAUUAAGGCGGUAUGAUCCUUCAGUUACAGCAAACUUCCAAUGCUGUUCUUUGUCUCUUGUGUGGUUCACAGAAAAAGUGGAUGUGUAACAUAGGUAAGACUUGCUGGAAUUUGCGUGGAAUCAUGCAUUGCUGCAAGGAAAUCCUGCAAGGAAACUGCUAAUGCUGGAGUCCCUGGUUAUGUGUAACAGUAUACUCACUUUCUCUGGCUAUUCAGAUGCAGUGGCAUGAAGUUACGCAUUGGUUUUGGUGCCAUUCAUCUGAAAAUCCAAACGUUUGCAGUGUGAGUGCGUUAACAGCAAUGCAGUCAAAGCAUUCCUUAACGCACACAAGCCAUUCCCUUUUGGGUGAGUAACAGUGCAAUGUGAAGAAGCACCCAGCUGCCAGGAGGUGUCACUUGGUAGCAACUCCUGUGCUGGAAUCCCCUGAGUUUGCUGCUCCUCCCUUUGACGGAGGUUUCAUAUCAUAAAUCAUAGAAUGGCCUGGGUUGGAAGGGACCUCAAGGAUCGCAAAGCACCGAACCCCCACAUGGCAUGCAGGGCUACCGACCUUCACAUUUAGUACCAGGCCAGGCUGCCCAGGGCCCCAUCCAACCUGGCCUUGAACACCUCCAGGGACGGGGCAUCCACAGCCUCUCUGGGCAGUCUGUUCCAGCACCUCACCACUCAUAGUAAACAACUUCCCCAGUAUCCAACCUAAAUCUUCCCUCCUUCAACUUAAAACUAUUUCCCCUUGUCCUGCUGUUAUCUACCUUUUCAAAGAGUUCACUCCCCUCCUGUUUAUAGGCUCCCUUUAGGUACUGGAAGGCUGCAAUGAGGUCACUCUGCAGCCUUCUCUUCUCCAGGCUGAACAAGCCCAGCUCCCUCAGCCUGUCUUCAUAGGGAAGGUGCCCCAGCCUUCUCAUCAUCUUUGUGGCCCUCCUCUGGACCCGUUCCCACAGCUCCCUGUUGGGUUUUCCCAAAUUACUGCAGUAUGUCAUCAUUCAUUGGCUCUUUCCCACCUCAUCACGUACCCAACUAUUUUGUGUUUGGUUUUGCAAUUUCUCUGCAAAUACCUCUUCCUGGAAAACAGAAUAACAGUAAGUAGCUCAAGCUGCUGGCCAAGCUUCCAUUCCUGUGGUUUCACUUGCUCUGUUCUGUCAAGUUAUUUACAUGCAGCGUCCUAAGGAUAUAAUUGAGUGGAGUGCUAGUAAGCACUAACCUUUGUGUCUGCCCUCAGUCCACGUAGGUCAGGCUUACCCAAGCUGUUUCCUACAGUGAAUUCACUGCCUACUCCUGCAGCCCUUGGUUGCACUAUUUCAUGAAAGCAGCAUGAUCUGCUCUUGCAGGAACUACAAAAAGGGCAGAUUAGCAUCAGUCUCUUUACCUGCUGUGUUGCACAACCCAGAUCUGUUCUGAACCUUGCUCUUGCAUACACGAGCCCUAGGGUGCGCAAGUGAAAGGCAUUAUCACAUCUUAACAGCUCUGGUGUGCUUCAGUAUAGGAGAAAGAUUUCAAAGGUAGGCCAGGUGUUUGAGAUUGACUAUUUACAUUACUUUGCUCAAAACAGAGCUGCCAGCUUAUUCCCUGUUCUGAAUUCAUCUGUACCAGAGCUGUCUUGUACUCAGAGCCUUUUGGGGCAUGCAUUCCCCAGGCUUUGAAUUCCGAGAAUGCAGCUGUGUGAUUCAGACUGGAUGGCACGGCUCAUUUAAGGAGCUCGGUGUUAUCUUUUGUCCUUUGCUCUCCUGUGCCACACCGCACUGUGCCUGGCAUGCCAACAGGUCUGUCUGUAGCAGCAGGGUGAUUAGCAGGCUGUUACAUGUCCAGCCCCAUGCCUGCUUUUCUUUAGCCGAAGUUGGAAGUGUAGGAAGUUUGUGCAACUUCUCUAAAAGCCUGGAGGGGAUCAAUGAGGUACUUGAGAGCGUUUGCAACAUGGCAGCAAAAGCUGGUGAUCAGGCACGCAGCAAAACUCAGUCCUUGGGUUGCUGCAGCCUUCAUCUCAUUAAACCAUGCACCUAAUGAUGGGGUUUGGUUUGUAGGGGAGGAGCAGCAACACGUCCCUUGUGUAUGUGAUGGUUAAUGGUGUUUUUUCCUGCUUUAGGUCUUUGAUGCGUGACUGCUGGGUGUUUCGCUGUGUGCUGCCUCCUGAGCAGGCUUGAGGAACCCUGAUGUCUGUGAGCAGCAUUGGUGAUGCUAGGUGUAGUCAAGCAAAUGAUGAGAGAGCUAGACUAAGAUGUGGUGUAGGUUUCCCAUAGUUUUGUCUUUUAUAACUGUUACAGAGGGUACACAUUUAUUGUAUGACACAAUUUCUUACAAUUAAGGAUUUACAUGUUACACCUGCACACCUAGCCAAAUACACCCUUUCUAUUUAAUGGCAAGGUAGAUUUGCACGGAGAGAAAUGGGUAGUCAGCCAUUUCAUGUAUAGGAUGGGUGUUUUCCAUGUCAGUGUUUUUGCACUGCCCCCUGAUAAGAGUACACAGUGGAAUUCCUUACCAUGCAAAUGUGUUCUACUGUCUCCACUCUGGUGACGGUGAAUCGUGUCCUCUGUGAGCCUUUGCUUUCACUGUAGCCAUUUCUGCUGAAAUAAUCCCCAGAGGGAUUAUUGCUGUUAUUAGGCUUUCUGGAUAAAUGAGAGGCAGAUGCGGUCCUUGUGUGAAUUGGCAGGAGGGUGUUGCACAGCCAGGUGGGUGCUGCAUCUCACCUGGGAUGUAGAACAGUGUGUUGUUAAUGAGUUUCUCCCAGUGAAGUCCAUUAACCCUCCUGCAGACCCCUGCCAGCUGAAAGCUCCAUUCAAAUCCUGGGUAGUGGGGUGACCACUGGCCCAAUCCUCCCCGCUAUAUGUAUUUAUAAUAUAUUGCCUGUAUUUCUUGAUACAAUUUUUAUAUAAAUCAAUAAGUCAAGGGAGUCAAGGAAAAAUAGGGAAGUAUGAUGUGCUGCUGAGAGAAUCCUGGAAUAGAGUGGCAGUUCCCUGUUGAGAACAGCUCAGAGGUGUCCUGGACAAUACAGUUUGUGUGCAUGUUUCUGCUUUGUUCAAGUUUUUAAUCCCAUCCGUCUUUCCGACUCUCAUCCCUGAGAAGGUCCUUUGGCUGUGGAUUAACCUUGUCAGGAGAACCAAGGCAUGUGACAUGCUUGGCGACAGGGGCAG
Molecule: long non-coding RNA, 7068 nt
Organism: Gallus gallus (chicken)
Lineage: Eukaryota; Metazoa; Chordata; Aves; Galliformes; Phasianidae
Source: Ensembl